RNAcentral lists this transfer RNA (86 nucleotides) under Armatimonadia bacterium. Its description in RNAcentral is "tRNA-Leu". It matches the Rfam family "tRNA". Rfam says of the family: Transfer RNA (tRNA) molecules are approximately 80 nucleotides in length. Lineage: Bacteria; Bacillati; Armatimonadota; Armatimonadia. The record is from RNAcentral.
GCCCAGGUGGUGGAACGGCAGACACAGGGGACUUAAAAUCCCCUGACCUUCGGGUCGUGCGGGUUCGAAUCCCGCCCUGGGCACCA